This 497-nucleotide ribosomal RNA is filed under the name uncultured bacterium. RNAcentral's name for it is "partial 16S ribosomal RNA". It matches the Rfam family "Bacterial small subunit ribosomal RNA", at positions 28 to 507 of the family's 1533-position model. The record is from RNAcentral.
GAUGAACGCUGGCGGCGUGCCUAAUACAUGCAAGUCGAGCGAACAGAUAAGGAGCUUGCUCCUUUGACGUUAGCGGCGGACGGGUGAGUAACACGUGGGUAACCUACCUAUAAGACUGGGAUAACUUCGGGAAACCGGAGCUAAUACCGGAUAACAUUUGGAACCGCAUGGUUCUAAAGUGAAAGAUGGUUUUGCUAUCACUUAUAGAUGGACCCGCGCCGUAUUAGCUAGUUGGUAAGGUAACGGCUUACCAAGGCAACGAUACGUAGCCGACCUGAGAGGGUGAUCGGCCACACUGGAACUGAGACACGGUCCAGACUCCUACGGGAGGCAGCAGUAGGGAAUCUUCCGCAAUGGGCGAAAGCCUGACGGAGCAACGCCGGGUGAGUGAUGAAGGGCUUCGGCUCGUAAAACUCUGUUAUUAGGGAAGAACAAACGUGUAAGUAACUGUGCACGUCUUGACGGUACCUAAUCAGAAAGCCACGGCUAACUACGUG